Silurus meridionalis is the source of this 254-nucleotide long non-coding RNA. RefSeq lists it as uncharacterized. NCBI's taxonomy places the organism in Eukaryota, Metazoa, Chordata, Actinopteri, Siluriformes, Siluridae. The transcript has 3 exons. The record is from RefSeq and is a predicted model, not a curated record.
CUAUGCCUCUGCAGUGGUGGAAAAUGAGCACGUCUAUAAUGUGGACAGAGCUCAGGGACCCCCUGCUCCUGGCGACUUGAAACCAGAUGAACAGCUUGAGAGUUAUUCAGUAAAAUCUGCUGCAUUAGAUGGCGCUGAAAAGUCUACCUCUUCAGCUGAGCCCGGUCCUGCACAAGCCGUCACACCAAAGCCAGAUAAAACAGAGCCUGUGCACGUGCCCCCAGAGGUUCCAGCUUCUGCUCUAUUCACCAUCG